AAGACAUUGUUAAAAAAUAAAAAGACGUGGAGAAGAUAUACAUAAUAAAAUACUAAUAUUCAGAAAAUAUAAAGAAUUCUUGCAACUCAAUAAUAAGAAGAAAAACAACAUAAUUAAAAAAUAGGAAAAAUAUUUGAACAGUCACUUCAUCAAACAAAAUACACAGUGACAAAAACACACCAAAAAUGCUUAACAUUAGAUCAUUAGUCAUUGGAUAAAUGCAAAUUAAAACCACAAAUAUAUUUUAAUAGACAACUAUGACAAUGUGUGAAAUUAAAAAACAAAAUAAAACUGACAUCCCAAGUGUUGAGUAAGAUAUGGAGCAACUGGAACUCUCAAACAUUGCUGCUGAGAUGGUACAACCGUACUGUCACUUAAGAAAGUAGUUUGGCAGUUUUUUACAAGUUAAGCCUAUGUUUUCCGAAUGACUCAGCACUCUGGCUCCUAGGGAUUUACCCAAGAAAAAAGGAAAAAAUUGUACAGAAGGGCCGAGAAUAGCUUUGUGACAGCCAAAAAUUGUAAACAACUGCAAAGUCUGUCAACUGGUGAAUGGCUAAGUAAUUUUGGUGUAUCCAUACUAUGUGAUAUCCCUCAGCAAUACAAGGGCACAAACUACUGAUACACUCAAUGACAAGAAGGAAUCUCAAACGCGUUGUGCUCCAUGAAAGAAGCCAGACCCAAAAGUCUGCACACCGUAUGAUUCUAUUUAUUUGAAACUGUAAAAUUGUAGACAAGGCAAACUAUAACGAUAGAAAGCAGAUCAAACUUUUGGGGCAGGGGUAGAAAGGAGUCGGGGGCAAGGGAGGGGACUUCUGUAAAGGGCCACUAAGGAACUCUUUGAGGUGAUGGAGUCAUUCUGCAUCUUGAUUGAUUGGUGGUUAUACAAAUGUACCCAUUUGCCAAAACUUCUAUAAAUCUUAUUUUGUGUAAGCUAUACCACAACAAAGCCGAUUUAAAAAAACAGGGCCCGGCUUCUGUGCUUCUUCCUGAAUUUAGGAAUUAAUGGUAGGGGUAGCAGUUUGGAAGGACCUCCCGGUUUUGCAAUAUGGGCUCAACAACUCCUCCUGACUUAUUUCCCACAGGUAAACCUACCACUAGGGCACUUCUGUCCUCCAAGAUCUGCCCCAUGGAAAGCAAUGACUAGCCCACGGGUGGCAGCCAAGAGAGAGGACAAAAAAAUGUUCAGGCGUCUCCCGGUCCUUCCACCUGUUGUUACUCGUUCACCCCUUCCCAAACCAGGCUCAAGGACUUCCCUAACUUUAUCCUCUCACCUUUGACUAGCUCUGAGCUGCUGCUGCUAUUUUUCUCACUCCCAUCUCCCCAUAAAAGUGUGAGUACCGUUGGAGAAAGAAAGGGGACAGGAGGAUAUAACUUGAAAGCUUUCCUGUAACCCAUUCCCCAAUACCAAGUGCUCUCCCACCCUAGGGUUCCCACUGCACCUGGGGCACUCUAUUUCUGUUUUCCCAAAGGUUACUUACAAUUUUUGCACUAGAGUCUGGGCAUCAUUGGCUAUCUUCUGGCUUCUGGUAUAGAGUUCCAGGGAGACAGCCAGCACAUCCACAGUGGAUGUGCCCGUCCACAAUCAUUGAAGUGAGUGAAUUUCAGAUUAAUUUUUAGCCUAGAAUCUUUUUGUUUGAAUAAAACCUGGAUUUGGAUUAUAAAUAUACAAAACAGUCAAUGGCCGCUCUGCUGGAAGUCAAGGUGGGGCUGGGUCUCUGAGUGCUGCCCCAGCGGCAGAGUUUAGAAAAGUCGAGAAAGGAAGAGGAGGCCACCCAGGCUCAGUGAGUACUGAAGUAAAAGGUGCGAGGACAGAGAGGUGUGUGAUGUGGUCAGGACGAGCAGGCCAGUUUGGCAGAACGAGGGUAAGUGAUGAAGUUGGAAAGCUGGGUUGGGGUUGGUUCAUGGGGACUUUAAUGACAACGUAGGAAUGCUGGACAGUCAGAGCAAGAAUAGAACUUACAGCUUAGCUAGUCCAGCCUGCUCUUUUACAGUUAAGGAAAGAGGCCAGGGACUGUGAGGGGCUUGCCCGGUGUCACAGUGACUUAGUGGCAGACCUGAGACUAGAAUUCUGUUCUGUUGACACUCAGACUAGUACUCAGUGAUGAUAGCAAGGUCUUCUCAUGGCAGUGCAGACUGGAAGAGGCAAAUUUUUCUGAAAUUUCUGUAUGUAGAGGAAGGAAUAUGAAAUGGUGAGAUCACGGGAAAAUGACAUCCCAUUUGGGCCUUUGCAAUCCAAUGUGUAGGAGGGGCUCCUCAGAUAAAGUAGAUUCAGCUAUUGCCUUUCCAAUAAUUCUCACACAGACUUCAAGAGGGAACAAUCAACCUGGUCACUUCCCUAUGCAGACUGCUUCCUGCCUCAAAAACAGGUGAAUAUCCAGCCUGGAAAGCACUUCAGCCUUGAAAUAUGCAAACACCCACUCAAUCUCUGGUCUCUGUUUCUCAAUGUCAGAUUUAGUUGAUUGUGCAAAGCACACAAACCUUCCACCAUUUUGAUAAUCAAUAAAUUGCUCUGGUAGAACACUUGCAAGGGGUUCUCUUGCUCUGUGUCUCUACUCUCUGACCAUUGAUUUUUUAGGUCAUAAAGAGGGAGGGAAACAGAGAAAGAGCUUAAGAAAUUAUUUUUCAUUCUCAAACUGGGAGCCAAGUAAUUUAUCCUAUUAAUUGUUCUGGAACAUUUCAUUCUGCCCUUUCUCUUCCAACACAACAACCUCUUGUCACAAAUCACUCAUUGUGAUUACACGCCAAAUUCCCAGCUUGGCCAUUAGUGUCAAAUAAUAGACUAUCAAUAGACUUAUAUUAAUUGCACAUUUAUGGGAUAGGCCAAGAAUCCUGACUGGGUCUCUGCAGGUCUGCUGUAGAAAUGAGUCUGGAGAUGGAACGGACUGUCUCUUGACUCGGAGCCAGAUAUCUGAUGGAUGACUUUAGCAGACAGUCAGCUUCUAAUCUUUGCUAGCAAAUGCAUCUCCACUAUCUACCCAUUGAUCUGAUAGCAAUGUUGAAAAAAGAACUCUCCUAAACUCAAAGUUUGAACAUUGGCUUUUUCAAAUCUUUGGACUGAUUGGAGAAAUAAAAAUGAAAUUUAUUUUGAAAGCAGCAAGUAUGAAUGGUCUGUGUGUGUACAUGUGUACUAGGUUUAUUAGAUUAAGAGAAGCAAGCAUAAACACACUUUGUUAAGAUACGCUAAUAUAUGCCCUCACCACCCACAACACACUUUUCCCCCAGUAUGAAACAUGAAAUAUAGUGUAAAUCACUCUGGAAAUGUGUGGUGGAAGGAAAAUGUACACUUAAAUGAAGAUAAUCAACACAUACUGAGUUCUAUUUUUCUAAAUGCUUGUGAAUCUUUUGCAUUUCUUCCAUAUAAUUCAGUAUCAGAGUUAAUGACAUAUCCUAGUUUCCUUUGGUACAGAAGCACCUCAAUUGCUGAAAAGUUUUGCUCCCUUCAAGACUGCUUAUCUGCUGCAAUAAUUACCAAUAAACCUCUCUGCACGAGAAAUAGCAGGGCUGAACGACUCUGUGAUGAAUAAAGAGAGUAGUCGGCUCCUCUUCAUUCAUCUUGAUAAUCUUCCUUGCUACGUAAACAGUAAGACACAUUGUCAAGAUUCAUGUUCAGGUCAAUUCUCAGCUCAACAUUGAUUGCAGAGAAAUUCUACCCAAUACACUGUUUUAUUAGAGCUGAAAGGCAACAACAGGAAAAUGGCAAAAGACCAUGGUAGUCUGAACUUGUAAGUGAAUGUGUGUGUGGGUGAGAGAGAGGAAUGGAAAGAAAGAGCAAUGGAUGUCUGUGGGAGCAGACAUAUCCAGCGGUGUGUCCAAUAAACACUCUUCUGAGAUUGGUCAACCCACUCGCUUUCAAUUGUGCUCCUCAGAAUCCGUGCUAACCUGAGGUAACAGACUCCGGGCAUAAAGAACAAUUCCAGAGCUAUGUUUCAAGGACUUCCUAUUUUAACAUCCUAAAACUUAACAAGUAUUAAAUCAACGUGACUACUGUAAGGCUACUGAAGGGCUGGGGUUAGGUAGUGACUCUAAAAAUAUCCGAGAAUUGAUAGGAUCAUAUUCCCAAACAAGUCCGGACUUCUCUCAGCUACGCCCAGUGAGAAGAAAAUCCUCAGUGUAGGAAAAUAAUUCACAGGCAGGCCCCUGGGAGACCCUGUGAUGGCUGAAACGUUUCCCUCCGGGGAUAGAUGUAAUGUGUUAAUGCUAGAGAACCAACCAGAACGGAUGAGAUCUGCCCGUCUGGUCCAAGCCCAGAGGAAACCAGACACUUCCCAAGGCUUCUUUCCCCUUAGGAUUGCAUCAGUCUCACUGUAUGGGCUUAUUUUUAAACAUUGGUUGAAAAUGCAAUAGCCCAGCUGUUCAACGUCACAACAGAAGGUCAAUUUUAUACAGUUGUUCUUCCUUGAAGAGCUUAAGUUAAGUGACCCAAAAGGCCAAUUUUUCCAACUAAUGAAGGAACUUGUUCCUGGAAAGUUGCCAUUUUGCUGUGAAACUUAUGUUUCCUCGUUUUACUAAUGCAAACGUUGAACUUUGGAAAUGUUAGUGUAUUUAAUUUUCAUAGUUUUGGGGCUUGGAUUACUAGGUAUAAGCACGUCUUUAUUAUUGUUAACAAUGAACUGAACCUGGAUAAUCCGCUGAUAAUUCCCAAAUUGCACAGAGCCCAAAUCUAGCCAACCAAAAUUCUUUUAAACAUGGUUUAAAAUCUCUUAAAAAUGGUCAGAAAUAGCAUCUCCCCUGUGAAACAGUCAAAAGAGUGGCCAUUGCAGAAUAGGACGGUGAAGAACGGAGAGACCCAACACAGAGCCGGGAGCCAGAUGCCCCUGGGUUCAAAUGCAAGCUCUGCCACUUCUUGGUUUAGCUGAGUGACCUUGCCUCAGUCUUCUGCUCUUUCAAACAGGGACGGAACUUACUCCGUAGGAUUGUUGUGAAAACUAGGUGAGUUCACGCGUAUAAAGUUUCUUAGAAAAGUGCGGCACGGUGUCUGCAGUCAGCUCAUCACAAAGUGACAGGCGCUCUUUUCGUGUUUGUUGAUCCUCACCACACUCCUGAGGGACUCACCGAGGGUGACAGCACGAGAAAGGCAGAGCACCAGUGUUUGCGGGUCGGCUCUCCUGCGCAGUCUCUGUCUAUAGCAGUAUACUUUUAGCAUCUCCCAUGGGCAAAAUGUUCUCUCAAGCCUCAUGAAACAAUUACACAUCAUUAAAGCACAAAGCAGGUCUCCAGGAUGGCCACGUGCCCGCCCCCCACGCCUCCUCGAUGUGGCCUGAGAGCUUUCAACUCCACUUUUCCUUGGGGCUCAGGCAGUUAGUGGUUCCCCAGCAGGCGCCAUCCCCACGUGGUCAGGAACACAGAAGUCACCAGUUUGUUCACCUGCCACAAACGGCUCUGAAACGAAGCUUUCCCGACGCCCAUGCAGAAGUGGGUCUCCUGUGUGCCAGAGGACAUCUCCCAGCCACCGUUUUGUCCACCCCCUAAUGAGUGUAUCAUUCUAAGGAGACACAAAACCCCUGUAUCGUUGUCAACACGCCCCAGACAGUGCUGGCUUCCAUGUCACAUUUUAUUCUUUUCAAGAAAGACAAUGCAUUAAAUGCAAGUGCAAAUGGAAUUUUAAAAAUGUGUGUAACCGCUGCUUUUUCUGUAGAAAAAAAACAAACAUGAAAAGUAUUCCUUUAUCAGAAAAUAUGCUCAGGGCAGGAUCGGUUCCCUCUCUAACCAGCACUCCAGCUCCAGCAUCAGUUAUGGCUCAGAAAUCUAACCAUUUGAUGCUGGCAGGACCUUGACUUCAGCCUAGCCAAAGUGAAUUAAGCUCACCUGGUUUUGCUAUGCAUGUGUGCGCGUAUGCACCUGUGUGUGUAUGAGCAUGUGAUCACGUGAGUUUUCCUUCCAGGGUGGUGAGCUGCAGGGACUGGACGUAUAUUAUAAAAAACCUGGGUUCUCAUGGGCAGAGGGCUGCCUGGACAUGCGGUGUUCACAGAUGUGACUUUGAACCCCAGAUGAUAGUUUUCCAAGCUAAUGUGACUAAUGUGCUCCUUGUAGGUGACAUUUCCUGCUGUUCCAUGUUCUCGAAUAAAGGCAGACACUGGCUGAAUCAGAGGCC
Long non-coding RNA from Equus caballus (horse), 6091 nucleotides. NCBI's taxonomy places the organism in Eukaryota, Metazoa, Chordata, Mammalia, Perissodactyla, Equidae. The record is from Ensembl.